This 73-nucleotide transfer RNA is filed under the name Heterocephalus glaber (naked mole-rat). It matches the Rfam family "tRNA". From Rfam's summary of the family: Transfer RNA (tRNA) molecules are approximately 80 nucleotides in length. Lineage: Eukaryota; Metazoa; Chordata; Mammalia; Rodentia; Bathyergidae. The record is from Rfam by way of RNAcentral.
GGAGAUGUGGCUCAGUGGUAGAGCACUUGCCCUAGAAUGUUAGAGGUCUUAGGUUUAAACCCCAGAAUCACCA